Molecule: long non-coding RNA, 5036 nt
Organism: Anolis carolinensis (green anole)
Lineage: Eukaryota; Metazoa; Chordata; Lepidosauria; Squamata; Anolidae
Exons: 3
Source: RefSeq, a predicted model, not a curated record
AGAAUCAAUGCAGUUUGACACCACUUUAGCUGUCAUGGCUCACUCCAUCUUCCAGAUCUGGUCACCUCUGAGUCAUCUCUCGAUAACAAAGGAACAACCUUGACAGACAGUUACACAAAUGAGAUUCUGUAACUGGAAAUUCCUUCUCAGCCUUGAUUCCACCUGCCUCCUUUCUAGUAGCCUGGCAGCUAACCUCAGUCGAAAGACAGGUUGGUACAAAGAUGAACACAAGUGCCAAAAUUCUGUUGAUCUCUUAUGGGCAUAUCAGAUCUGUACAGAAAUGAUUGGGCAAUAUUUUUUGUCUGACAUUUGGAUUCAGUUCAAAGUUGUGGAAACAAAAGUCUGCAUGUGGCACCACUGUGCAUGAGAUAUACACAUAUUGGUGCACACAUGCAUUGGAUUACAUAUCUAGAUCCACAUUCAAUUAUACAACACAUUCAUUCAACACACAAAGUGUGUAGCACAACCAGUGUAUAACUCCACAUUGCAGAUUUAUGAUAUACAGCCCUGGGAAGGGAUCUUAGUCAAGGUAUUUCUUUGCUCACCAGGAUCAUAAGCCAGUGGGGACUUCAUAUGAAAGCACCAACACCUUGAAAGUGACUUUGAAUACUGGGUAUCUGACAAUAUUUAUGCUACCAAACAGGAGAUGUGUCUGGUGGUCAGAUUAUGACUGAGGAUAAAGACCACCUUUGCCUUUUAAUCCAGCCCUUAGGCAGGUCUCAAAACCCAUCUCUGGUUAUCUUUACAGCUGUAAAGCAUAUCAGACAAGUGCAUGGGCAAGGGGAAUGGGCUGAGAAACCACUGAUCUUGCUUGUAUUUACCUGUCUUAUUCCUUCCUUUAAUCCCUUUAUGUUCAGAAAGAUGCCCUCAAGGUAGUAAAAAUGCAUGCUUUAUGCAAGCCAGUUUUUAAAGGAGCGUAAUCUUCAGAGUGAUUUGCUGUAAUAAAACCAGCCUGAGAAGAUGAGGGGCUCAAUUGGAUGUAACAGGAGAGAAUCUGAAAAGGAAAUAUCAAACAACACUGUGUUCUGGUUUACAUAUAUCAGCUGAAUAACCGCAAAUUUGUGAAGUACCAGACAUUAUAUGCAGAUAUGAUAUCUGAAGAUGCAGGAAAGUGGAGCAAGUCUACAGUGGAAAAUAUACAACAAAGCAUCAAGUUUGGAUAUUUGCCAUGGCUCUGAGGUGACUGUGAGUCCGAAAUGGCAGAACUGGAAACUCACUACCAUCACCUUUGACUUCCAGCAUUCCAGCCAAAUAAAAUAUAGCCUUAGGAUUUUCUCAAAGCAAAAACAGGUAUGUUUCUAUCCACCUUUAUCAACAACAUGAGUCUCUCCUACCAGUUCUAUACAUUUUGUAUGACCUGGUCUAUAAACGAGGCUCUCUUUUCAUCCUCUAUAUUUAUGGGUAAAUUUAUCACUUCUUUCACUGCAUCAUAUGUAUUUGUUGCUUUUUCCACCCAAUAUACCCUUAAAAUACUGCAUAGAAAGAAUGGGAAAGCAAUAUCAAAAUGCAACCCAGAGGAAUGUGCCAAUUAAAGGCAAAUAUUGAAGAUCAUUAAACCAAUAUCAGUCUUAUCAAAAUAUGGCAACUAUUUUUUUUCUUCUUUUACAGAUCUGGAGUGUAAAGUGUACAGUAUAUAUGUGUGCAUUUUUCUUCUGUACCAGAACCAAAACAGAAAUUGUGUCAGUGUCAGGCCUUCAAUUCUGCAUUUAGUAGGAUUACAGAAAAGCAAUUCAUGGCACUCUGCUUAAAUCCAUACCAAGAGGAUGGCCAAUUUAGAUUGUCAGGUACUCGAGUAUUUUUUUAUUAAAAAAAACAAUCCUUAUAGCUGAAAAAGCAAUAAAAAAUGCCUUUCAAGUAUAUGAUAAACAACAGGAAGUUAUUUACCUAUGGAACGGUGGGAUUAUAAGAUGAAUAUUUUGGAAAGAUCACAUGCAUAUUUUUGUAAAAGCAAAAUCAAUUUUCCUCACUUGAAUAAGGGGAAAACAAUUGGACCUAUAUUAGUAGUUAUGAUUAUGGGUGUAUCUACACUAUGAAAUUAGUGCAGUUUGAUGCCACUUUAGCUACAUUAACUCAAUGCUAUGGAAUCCUGGGAUUUAUAGUUUGAUGAGGAACCAGACCUCUUUGAUAGAGAGGGCUAAAGACCCCCACGGCUCCAUAGUGUUACGGAUUGAUGAUGUUGAUAAAUAGAAGCUCUUACAUGUGCCCGUAAUCCAGAGUCACCCACAGAAUAACAUGCCACUCAGCUUUGCAGAACAAAAAUACAGGAACUUUACUGAUUCCAAGAGAUCAAAAACAGUAGUAUUUACAAUGGUCCCUUUGAUCACUUACAGAAGUCCACAGUCAAAUGGUUAUUUCUCAGUCCAUAAAUCUGCUUCAGAGAAGAAUACAGUCCUGGUUCUUCUCCCUCUUUUCUCAGCAGCAAGGCCUCUUUGAGUAUACAUUGCUCUCUUCACCAGCAGUACUCCAGUCAGCACUGAAAACUUGUCCAGACUGGUUCCGCAGCAGCAGAACAGAAACAGUUUCAAAUCAAAUCAAGCCCAAGGUCUUUGCAGGCUCAGCCAACUGGUUUCAUGCACUUCAUUUUCUAGUUAACACACACACAGCACAGUACCUUUGCAAACCAUGACACAACACUUGGCAAUGGCAGUUAAAGUAGUGUCAAACUGUAUUACUACUACACUGUAGAAAAUGAACCCAAGGAAACCGGAUUCCUCUAAAAGGUAGAUUUGAGAAGAACAUUUCUCAACAAUGUGGGGAUGAGGAAAUAACAUCAAAAGAAUGCCUUCAUCAAAUUAUCUCCUGUUUCAAGUACAAUGUUCUCUCUGCUGAGGAAAAAAAUGCUUUCACUAGUGCUAAAUGAAAUCAUAAUGUGUAAUGGAAUGAAUGCAAGGCAAUUAUUAUUUUUUUCUCCCACGUACCUUAAUAUUUUCUAGCCUGUCCUAUUAACUGAUGACUUUGCAAAGAAAUGAGGCUAAGAUUGGAUCAUGUAUUCAAAGCACUGGGAAUUUCUUGAGCUGCAUCUUUUCUUUAAAAUCCCUUCCUCUAUAUGGCUAUGAAAGGGAGCAGAAAGCACAUCAAUCAUUAAUGUGUCUAGUUACCCUAUAACAUAUGAAACAUGGGCAACUGUAAGUGGAGAUGGGGGCAUUUUCCCUGCACCUACCCACAGGCUGUUGGGCCGCUUUCAACAAAAUUAUAAGUGACAUCACAUCACUUCUGCUUCUGGAAGCCAGCCAAAAGAUUUAUGUUGGAGGUGAAUCUUCGAGGGCAGGUGAGGACAAGGGGAAUCGGACCUCCAAUCUUUUUGUGACAGUCUGGGUGAUUAUUGUGUGUGUUUGGCUUUUCUCCCAUUCUCCUCUAUUCCUUCUUCACUGAUUUCCUGCAUACCAAAAAGAGACAUCAGAAGUUUACUACAAGGUGAAAGAGGGAUGCUCCUACAGCAGUUCAGUCAGUCCAUGCACUGCUCCAUUCAUCCGACCAUUUUUGCACUCAUGAAUGCACAGGAAAUACAGGAAAAUAACCUGUAUUUACUGUGCAGUCUUUUUUGGAUGUCUCGGUGAUGUUCUGCAGCUUCCAAUUAUCAUCACAGAGUAGACUGGGUUAACCUGGUUUAGCCUCACAUUAAGAAAAGUUGAGGAAUGCUCUGGAGUUUGGCUGAAAUUCUGGAACAAUUCCAUGGCUUCAGCACUGUGUGGACAGAAGGUUUUGAUUUGGACUGGUCUGCUGUCCAUGUGGGACACUGCCAACAUCCCCUUUUCCUUGUGCUCAUCGGCUCAGGGAAUGUGGUACGAAGCAGGUGUGUGUUCUCAUCAUCACCACUGAGGGGAAAAGACAAGAUCCCGAAUUGCAAAGAUAUAUCAAUAAAUAGCAAAAUCAUAACAAAUAUUAAAAGUACACACAUAUGGACUAUGAGGAAGAAAAACACUGGGAGACUGGGAGGAAACGUUAUAUUUUAAUAUAUGGUACGAAGAACUCUUAACCCAGCAAAGAAGAAGAAAGGAAGUACAAAUUCUAUUAUUUAUUUAAUUUUUCCUCCUUUACUCCCUUUCACUUUUUCCACUGUUUUCCCCCAAUUCACUCUUUCUUUUUAUGUUUACCUAUAUAAAAUUUAAAUAAAAAUAUUUAAAAAAAUUGCAAAAUCAGGAUUGUCCAUACCAUCAUAUUUCCAAUAGCCAUGUUGCCUUGUGAAAACUGGACAGUAAAGAAAGCUGAUAUGAAGAAAAUCAAUUGAUUUGAAAUGGGGUGCUGAAUGAGAGUUUUACCAAUAUUAGAGAAAUAAAUGGGCCUUGAUUCAAAUCAAACCAAAACACUCAAGAGAAGUCAAGAUGACUAAAGUUUAAAUGUGGACACACCAUAAGUAAAAAAGGUAGCAAUCAGAAAAAGGGAGACCACAUUGCAGGUAGACUCAGUCAAGGAGGCCGCAACCUUGAGUUUGGACAAACAUGUACAGAACAAGAUAAUUUGAAGGUCUGUCAUGAAUACAGUUGUUAUAAGUUGGAUUUGACUUGAUGGUAGUUAGGAAAACAUGAAAUGCACAUUGAAGGCAAUACACUGCAUAGUUGGAAAACUGAUAUGUAUUUGGAAGAAAGAUACAAGAGGCAGAUGCAUGCUAUACAUAUGACUUUAUUAAGAAUAUAUGGAAAAAUCUCUGUUAAAAAAUUCCACAGAUUUAGGGUGCAAGUAAGAAAUAAUGCAUACAUUGUGCUCAUCUUCCACCCCUCCUCCUCCUCUUCCUAUUUUUCCUCCUCCAUUUUCCUUUUCUUUGGUUGCAUUCUACAUCUGGUAGAGCCCCAAGCAGUAGGUUGGGACAAACAACCAAAGUUUUCAAAACCUAAAAGCAGUAUCUUGUAUAUAAACCAGUGGUCUCAACCUGUGGGUCCCCAGGUGUUUUGGCCUACAACUCCCAGAAAUCCCAGCCAGUUUACCCGCUGUUAGGAUUUCUGUGAGUUGAAGGCCAAAACCUGGGCACCCACAGGUUGAGAACCACUGAUAUAAACCAACCAGACACCAGCACAUAUCUUGAGAGAUGGGGGUGAUGC